AUUGAACGCUGGCGGCAGGCCUAACACAUGCAAGUCGAACGCGUGGCGGACGGGUGAGUAAUGUCUGGGAAACUGCCUUAUGGAGGGGGAUAACUACUGGAAACGGUAGCUAAUACCGCAUACCAUCAGAUGUUCCCAGAUGGGUUUAGCUAGUCGGUGGGGUAAAGGCUCACCAAGGCGACGAUCCCUAGCUGGUCUUAGAGGAUGACCAGCCACACUGGAAAUGAGACACGGUCCAGACUCCUACGGUAGGCAGCAGUGGGGAAUUUUGAACAAUGGGCGAAAGCCUGAUGCAGCCAUGCCGCGUGUAUGAAGAAGGCCUUCGGGUUGUAAAGUACUUUCAGCGGGGAGGCGUUACCCGCAGAAGAAGCACCGGCUAACUCCGUGCCAGCAGCCGCGGUAAUUC
RNAcentral lists this ribosomal RNA (406 nucleotides) under uncultured bacterium. RNAcentral describes it as "partial 16S ribosomal RNA". It matches the Rfam family "Bacterial small subunit ribosomal RNA", at positions 30 to 526 of the family's 1533-position model. The record is from RNAcentral.